UGCGCGGCGGGGAGCAAGCCGGGCACAGCCCGGGCCGUGCCUGAGUUCUGAUGAUCUGUAUAAUCCUGUUAACUGUCUGGGCGCUCAAGCAUGGCCUGUUGGAAGAAAACCUCAGAACAGCAACAGUCAAACGUUCAGGUGGACAACGAGGAAUCUGAUUGCUAAUUCUCGGCUAGAGCUCCUAUGCAGAAAAGACCCAGAAGAUGAGCAGACCUUGAAUUAAAUGGGAUUUAAGGCUUUGAGAAACAAAGG
Molecule: long non-coding RNA, 252 nt
Organism: Chroicocephalus ridibundus (black-headed gull)
Lineage: Eukaryota; Metazoa; Chordata; Aves; Charadriiformes; Laridae
Exons: 3
Source: RefSeq, a predicted model, not a curated record